UAGAUGGUUCUCGGGUCAAC
Molecule: non-coding RNA, 20 nt
Filed under: Arabidopsis thaliana (thale cress)
Lineage: Eukaryota; Viridiplantae; Streptophyta; Magnoliopsida; Brassicales; Brassicaceae
Source: RNAcentral